Molecule: long non-coding RNA, 484 nt
Organism: Formica exsecta
Lineage: Eukaryota; Metazoa; Arthropoda; Insecta; Hymenoptera; Formicidae
Exons: 3
Source: RefSeq, a predicted model, not a curated record
GCGUGACAAAAAAAUCAUUAUUUUUACGAGUCUACAAGACAAUUUUGCAACUUUGAGAUGUUUUUCUCGUGGCCUUUCUCAGUUUCUCAGAUGGUUUGCUGGAUAUACUCGUAUAUCGCACAAGAGAAAUGUUAUUCUACAAAAUGUUUUGACAAAUGAUGGUAACAAUAAAUAUUUUGACAAUAAUACAUGAUAUCUUUAUAAGGUAGCGUUCGCUAAUGUUCUACAGCAAUUUGAAAAAGUUGUUCUCCAAUAUAGAGAACAGCAAGCAUCCGAAACGAUAUGAAGAUAAUUACUAUCUUCGCCCUUUUUUCAGCCCUUUUAGGCUGCGUUUCUUGUCUUCCCGGCGGGCUCGGUGGUUUAUUGGGCGCCAAUAUUCUCACCUCUGGUAACGCUAAUGGCGAUUUGAUAGACGCCAAUGUCCUCAAUAGUGGCGGCGGCGGCGGCAGCGGCGGCGGCGGUGGCGGUGGCCUAUUCGGUGGUU